This 799-nucleotide ribosomal RNA is filed under the name Nonomuraea sp. RNAcentral describes it as "bacterial SSU rRNA". It matches the Rfam family "Bacterial small subunit ribosomal RNA", at positions 67 to 887 of the family's 1533-position model. Lineage: Bacteria; Bacillati; Actinomycetota; Actinomycetes; Streptosporangiales; Streptosporangiaceae. The record is from RNAcentral.
CGGAAGGCCCUUCGGGGUACUCGAGCGGCGAACGGGUGAGUAACACGUGAGCAACCUGCCCCUGACUCUGGGAUAAGCCCGGGAAACUGGGUCUAAUACCGGAUAUGACCACUCCAGGCAUCUGGUGGUGGUGGAAAGUUUUUCGGUCGGGGAUGGGCUCGCGGCCUAUCAGCUUGUUGGUGGGGUAGUGGCCUACCAAGGCGACGACGGGUAGCCGGCCUGAGAGGGCGACCGGCCACACUGGGACUGAGACACGGCCCAGACUCCUACGGGAGGCAGCAGUGGGGAAUAUUGCGCAAUGGGCGGAAGCCUGACGCAGCGACGCCGCGUGGGGGAUGACGGCCUUCGGGUUGUAAACCUCUUUCAGCAGGGACGAAGUUGACGUGUACCUGCAGAAGAAGCGCCGGCUAACUACGUGCCAGCAGCCGCGGUAAUACGUAGGGCGCAAGCGUUGUCCGGAAUUAUUGGGCGUAAAGAGCUCGUAGGUGGCUGGUCGCGUCUGCCGUGAAAGCCCGCAGCUUAACUGCGGGUCUGCGGUGGAUACGGGCCGGCUAGAGGUAGGUAGGGGCAAGUGGAAUUCCUGGUGUAGCGGUGAAAUGCGCAGAUAUCAGGAGGAACACCGGUGGCGAAGGCGGCUUGCUGGGCCUUACCUGACGCUGAGGAGCGAAAGCGUGGGGAGCGAACAGGAUUAGAUACCCUGGUAGUCCACGCUGUAAACGUUGGGCGCUAGGUGUGGGACCCUUCCACGGGUUCCGUGCCGGAGCUAACGCAUUAAGCGCCCCGCCUGGGGAGUACGGCC